UGUCCAUGAUCCCUAGGUUUCCACCUUUUGUUAACACAACUCUCCUACAUGAUAUUAAUUUCAGUUGCUUGAUGGUAGGAACAUACGGGUGCACUACGCGAACCACAGAUGAUCUUCUGCUUUUGUCGACAUCGCUAAGAUUCUCGCUCACUGGUUCAUGUAGAAAGAGAAUGUAAACUGUAUCCACUUUUUCUUGGAUCAUUUUGGAUUGCUGAAUGGAAAACACAUUCAAGGCACAAAAUCUAUGAGAAUCGUGACAAGUAAUUGUACCCAAAAGGAUUACUGCCCUAUCUGGCGAUCUGUAUUGAGUUGAUUUAAGCUAGAACUGAGAAACAAGUUAGCUUUGAAAAAACAAAAUGGUUAUUUCUUGAUC
Lolium rigidum is the source of this 373-nucleotide long non-coding RNA. RefSeq lists it as uncharacterized. Lineage: Eukaryota; Viridiplantae; Streptophyta; Magnoliopsida; Poales; Poaceae. The transcript has 2 exons. The record is from RefSeq and is a predicted model, not a curated record.